RNAcentral lists this long non-coding RNA (1536 nucleotides) under Heterocephalus glaber (naked mole-rat). RNAcentral describes it as "lncRNA (ENSHGLG00100040056.1)". The record is from RNAcentral. Lineage: Eukaryota; Metazoa; Chordata; Mammalia; Rodentia; Bathyergidae.
GGAGCGGGGGCGCGGCGCUCCUGCCCGGCCUACGCGGGCGGGCGGGACAGCGGCCAAGCCUCGCGCGCCGCCGGGGGACAGGCGACCUCCCCCGGUCACAGGCAGCAGCCGCGGCGCGGCCGGCGGUACUCACGUAGUGCUUGGACGGGCUCCUCCGCUUCUCCACGUCCACCACGGCGGCCUCCCGCACGCAGCAGGCGAGCAUCUUCGCGCGUCUCAAGCGGCGCCCCCGGCGGCGUCACCUCGUCAUCCCGGCCGGGCUCAGGCUCCUUCUCCGCCCCCCGGACCCCGGGCCCGGGCUCGGGGGCUCCGCGCUGGGCCUGGCGGCAGCGGCUCCCCACACAGGCGUCCGAGCGCCGGCGGCUCCCCGCGGGCCCGGCCCCGCGCCCUCCUCUUCCUGCCUCCCGGGCCGCUCGGCGCCGUCCGCGCUCUCGGCCGCCCGCCGCAGCCCUGUGUCAGUCUAAGGCUGGAUUCCCCUAUUUGCUUGGGGCAGAGCUCCCCACUACGCUCUGGCCUGCUUGGAGAAGGGUGUGAGGACCCCCAAACGACGGCACACGAGUUGCACCAACAGAUGCCACGCGUAAUGAGGACUACGAGAGUCGAGCUCCAGGCAUUGAGAUCUGGAUGGCAGGGCCUUCCCUAUGAGAGAGGACGGUGGAAACCUCAUGUGGAUGCAGGGGUCCUGGCAGAAAGUGAUAUGGCCAUGAUGCGUGGGUGGCCGGAAAAGGCGGAGACAAGGCACUGCCUGCUGAGCCAGGCUUGUCCAUGAAGGGGCCAGGGGCAGACCCACAGUAGGCCCUCAGGUCAGAGCUUGCAAACGUGGGAUGGUGCCAGCGUAGCCCCAAGUCCUCUCUGGGGAUGAAUGGAGGCAUCUGCAAGUUGGCUGGUGCCUGAUGCAGAGCUGGAGCACAGGAUAGUCAGUGUUGGAAAGAAACGGAGAGGAUGAAAGAAACCCCUAUUCUGCCACCUCCGUCUGUGCAUUGGAGGUGACGCUGAGCCUAGGACAUUACACAAGCAAUUAGUUGUAAAAUGCUUAGAAUCAAAGAGCUCGUCAGGCUGGAAAGGAUCAGAGGUCAUUCUGAGGAGGGAGCUGAGGCCUAGAGAGACUUGAGCGAGGUGCCUGAGGCCACACACUUAAUUAGUCCGAGGUCAGCGGCCGCUCCCUCCACCUUGCCUACAUGUGCCUGUCCACAGGUGAGAAGAGCUCCUUAGUGCACGUACUGCCACUUGCAGAUGGAGGAUGUCGUGUGCCUCUGAACCCCGGGGGUCACUUGGCUCCAAUUUUCCAUUCAUCCAGCAUCACAAGUUGGCUGGACUGCCCAGCAAAGGGGACUGGAGACUUCUCCAGGACAGCGGCAGUGGGGCCUCCAUGCUCCGAGGCCACACACGCAUCAGCUCUGCCUAGGCAGAGCCCACCCUGCCUCCCCUCCUGGGGAAGGCCUCAUGGCCACCCCGAGAAGACAGCAUACCGGAGAGAACCCAGAAUUGUUAAUGCUAAGCAUGGGCGCUGCAUAAUCCUGUAUUCCUCCUUAGAAG